AAUUCUGUUCGGCCUUAGAGGGAAAGAGUGGACUGAGAGAGGAGCGAAGAUGAUAUAAGCUGUGAUGGUGAUGAACACUCACGGCAAGCCUCGCCUUGCAAAAUUUUACGAAUAUCUGUGGAAAAGCAGCAGGAGCUUACACGAAGCGUUUUUGCGGGUUCCGAUCUCUUACCAACAUUCUUCUUCUUCGUCCUCUUCUUCUUACUUUAGCUUCUUGUGCUGUAGAGCUGAGAACGUAAGCAAUUUCAUAGAGGCUGAAUCCAUUUUUGGUCCGGAUAGUCGCCUUCUAUACAAGCAUUUUGCUACUCUUGACUUUGUUGUUGUAUAUAGUUCUGAAAUUGAACUAGCCGUGCUUGACUUGAUACAAGUCUUUGUGGAAAUGUUGGACAAAUGCUUCAAGAAUGUUUGCAAGCUUGACAUUGUGUUCAAUUACAGCAAGGUUAUACGAGAUGAUGUUUUUGGAAAACGUAUAUGGGGUAUGCUUCAGGUUCAGGUUUCAAACGUUACUUGAUGGCUGCGAAAGCUUCUUGUUUAGAGUCAGUUUGGAAGUUAACUUAACAGUAUUUUACUUGAUAGCCUAUUUUGUUGAUUUUGUAGUGAAUCCUUUGUUGCUGCCAAAGCUAGCUGAACAUUAGUGCCUUCAUGCCCCGCUAGCCACGGGCUGUCUUUGGAAUAUGCUUGAUAAUCACUUUUUGUUACGUCACUGUAACAUCCUAAAUGAACACUCAAAACUGAUCAAAGUCGGUUGAAUGCUUUCUUACUAAUAUAUUCUGCUGGGGUCAUUGACGGAAUUUUAAAUGUAUCAUAUAAUUGCUUUAGUCUGGUAAUGUUCUGUUCCAUGGUCAACAAUCCUUUACAGAUAUGCUAUCCUGGAUGAGAUAAUUUUUGAAGGUCAAGUGCUGGAAACAAGUUCAACAAAAGUUAGGUUAGAAGCUGCCUCAAAUGCUAUCACACUCAUUCCCAAGUCUGCUUCUGGUUGGCGAAGUAGGUAGUUCUGCAUUCAAAUGCUGUUAAAAUCAUUCCUCGAUUAUUUCCUGUCACUGUGAGUUGAUAGUUUGUGAUUUUCACUAACUUGGGCUUUAGUGAAGAGAUUUGUUUCAUUUUGGCCCACAUCAUCAAAAGUUAAGAGGUAUUAUAUUUGAUUAGUUAUUUUCUGCUUCAGAGUAGGAAAUAAAUACGUGUAACAAGCUGUUUUAUUAGCACACGCCACCAACUUUGAGUAUCUAUCCUGAUUUUUGCAAUUCGUGAUAUGCUUUACUCUGAUGUC
This is an RNA transcript of Theobroma cacao (cacao), 1267 nucleotides long. It is a transcript of the gene named AP-3 complex subunit sigma-like, with no coding region annotated. NCBI's taxonomy places the organism in Eukaryota, Viridiplantae, Streptophyta, Magnoliopsida, Malvales, Malvaceae. The record is from RefSeq and is a predicted model, not a curated record.